RNAcentral lists this long non-coding RNA (1585 nucleotides) under Homo sapiens (human). RNAcentral's name for it is "HSALNT0271649". Lineage: Eukaryota; Metazoa; Chordata; Mammalia; Primates; Hominidae. The record is from RNAcentral.
GCUGCUAUUACCGCCAUCUGAGUAUUUAUCAGAGUGUAUUUAAGCAAUGCCCUGUAUACAGUAAUUUGAGUCAUUUUCUGUUCUGUGAAGUCAGAAGAAAAGGAGAUCAAGAAAGAAGAUCCAGAAUCAAGGCUACAAACAUUAGAGGACUUAAUGAGCUGGUUGAGACAUAGCAGCUUGUGAAAGGAAAAUAUCUUGGGCCCUCAAAAUCACUAAGGAAAACUCAAGGCAGGAACUGCUUCAUGUGAACCUGCCUCCCAUUCUAUUCAAAGUCACUCCUCUGCUCACUGAGAUAGAUGCGUAUCUGAUUUGCCUCCCUUAGAAAGGCUAAUCAGAAACCCAAAAGAAUGUAACCUUUUGCGUAUCAUCUAUCUGUUGCCUGGAAGCUCCAUCCCUGCUUCUAGUCCUCCUGGCUUUACUUCAAGUUGUCGCGCCUUUCCAGACCGAACUAGUAUACAUCUUGCAUAUUUUGAUUGAUGUCUCAUGUCUCCCUAAAUGUAUAAAAGCAAGCUGUGCCCUGACCACCUUGGGCACAUGUUGUCAAGACUUCCUGAGUCUGUGUCAUGGGUGUGUCCUCAAAGUUGGCAAAAUAAACUUUCCAAAUGAACUGAGACCUGUCUCAAACUUCCAGGGUUCACAAGCUUAUAGUCUACCAUCCUUAUGAUCCUUUAACAGAUGUAAUUUUUUUUACUGUAUAAAUGAAAUAACCAUACAGAUAUGCUGAUAUAAACCAUACAAAAUUAAUAUUAAUGUAAUUGAAUAUUCAUUUCUCAUAAGUUAGGUUACCUUCAAUUGAACAGCUAGAUGAAGAUUGUAUUACCUGUAUGUGUUUUCUAUGUAAAAAGUAGGCAUUUAGAUUAAGAUGGCAUUCUAGACUCACAUGUGAUUCACUUAUCCUUGUUGAGAAACUAACACUGUGUAGAAGUGAAAAAAAAUAGAUCAAAGAAAAAUAAAAUACAGAAUUCAGGAGAGGGUGAGACAAAAAAAAAGAGGUGACGUAAAAUUCUGGAAAGGAGGUGAAGAAGAGGAGUGAGAGGACACAAAUGAAAAUGGAAGCAGAAACUUAUGACAGCAACAAGGGGGAGCCUUCAUACAUCUGGUUUAAUAAAUACAUCAGCAAAGAGGACAUAUGGACACAAUCCAGGACAGCAAAAAUAAAUCAACAUCACAACUUAUUUUAUGAGGCCAGCAUCAUCCUGAUACCAAAGCCUGGCAGAAACACAACAAUAAAAGAGAAUUUUAGACCAAUAUCCCUGAAUAUCGAUGAAAAAAUCCUCAAUAAAAUACUGGCAAACUGAAUCCAGCAGCACAUCAAAAAGCUUAUCCACCAUGAUCAAGUGCGCUUCAUCCCUGGGAUGCAAGGCUAGUUCAACAUAUGCAAAUCACUAAAUGUAAUCCAGUGUAUAAACAGAACCAAAGACAAAAACCACAUGAUUAUCUCAAUAGAUGCAGAAAAGGCCUUUGACAAAAUCCAAUGGCCCUUCGUGCUAAAAACUCUCAAUAAAUUUGGUAUUGAUGGGACGUAUCUAAAAAUAAUAAGAGCUAUUUAUGACAAACCCAUAGUCAAUAUCAUACUGAAUGGGCA